Long non-coding RNA from Macaca mulatta (Rhesus monkey), 643 nucleotides. The record is from Ensembl. Lineage: Eukaryota; Metazoa; Chordata; Mammalia; Primates; Cercopithecidae.
AAGGGCUUGGCCCUUUCUACAAAGCUGAGUCGCUGGGUGAAUCCUGGUUACAACUCACAACUGAGUCAAGAAGCCAAAACCAAAUUGCCAGGCCCAGGAAGCAAUCAGAACAUGAGGAAAAAGCAAAGAUAUCACUGGAAAAACAGAACACACCCAUCGACAAGAUGGCGGAGGGAUUUCAAGACCCCAGUUGGAGCCAAAGUUGGUGAAGGACAAGGAGACCCAGGCGUGUGCAUAGUACCACAAUUUCGCUGGAGGGAAAUUUUUCAAGAACGUGAAGCACUGUAGUACAAAAGCCUGCCUAGGGACACCAGCACCUAACCCAAUAUGCUUUAACAAAUGAGUAAAGGAAGAAUGCCAAGAUUUCCAGCCUGCAAAGCUUCGCCUCUGGGGAAUCUAUGGCCUUCUUGCAAGGGAUCUUCUAGUUUAUAAGCUCACCAACAUAAUUUGAGAUCCAGUGAAAAUGCUAUUUUCACCAUAUGUAUAUGCCACCAUUUUCAAGUGUAUGUAGAUUGGUUGUGACUAAUAAAAUACAAUAAACAAAUUAUAAAUUUAUCAUUUGUAUAUGUAUUAAUAAAAUACAGAUUCAUUUAAAACAUUACCAAAAUUGAGUCAAUUGUCAACAUCUAUUUCUUGAUCAACC